This 253-nucleotide ribosomal RNA is filed under the name uncultured bacterium. RNAcentral's name for it is "partial 16S ribosomal RNA". It matches the Rfam family "Bacterial small subunit ribosomal RNA", at positions 524 to 776 of the family's 1533-position model. The record is from RNAcentral.
UACAGAGGGUGCGAGCGUUAAUCGGAAUUACUGGGCGUAAAGCGUGCGUAGACGGUUAUUUAAGUCGGGUGUGAAAGCCCCGGGCUCAACCUGGGAACUGCACUCGAUACUGGGCGGCUAGAGUAUGAGAGAGGGAGGUAGAAUUCCACGUGUAGCGGUGAAAUGCGUAGAUAUGUGGAGGAAUACCGGUGGCGAAGGCGGCCUCCUGGUUCAAUACUGACGCUGAGGUGCGAAAGCGUGGGGAGCAAACAGG